This 2362-nucleotide long non-coding RNA is filed under the name Pelobates cultripes (western spadefoot toad). Lineage: Eukaryota; Metazoa; Chordata; Amphibia; Anura; Pelobatidae. The record is from RNAcentral.
AAAAAAGCUGGUUAAUACAAAAUCAGUUCAAGACCAAAAUAGUCUCUAUAACAGUGUUUGUUAAAAGUGAGUUCUGUUUUCUCAGAUAUUUUAUUAAAUAUAAAUCAUGCAUGUAAAACAUAAAAAAUGCAGGUCACAGUGCGGUGUGACUUUGAAAUGUUAAUGUAAGCUUCAAAGUCAAAUGCAAACUCUUGGUUCUCAGAACCAUCUAAUUUAGAGAGCUGAAACACAGCACAGAAGUUCUAGCUGCCAGAAGUGUAACCUCCAGUAGCCUCCACUUGAUGCUCAGCAGGAGACAGACAGCCAAUGGAGACAUGGCCCCCCUCCAUGCAACCUCAAUCUUUCCCUUAGUCCAUAGUCUCUGACUUCCCUUCCCCUCCAGCAAGGGUGAGUGAUGUCAGUCAAGAAAAGAUUGGCUGAGUGAAAAACUUGAACUUCGCGAUGGAAUAGAGAUUUUUUUUUUUUUUACUUUGUGGGGGUGACGGAACACUAGUUGUUGGUUGUAGUAACCCUUUAAACUCACAAGAACUAAACCAGUGCCUUCCGCUCAGAUCUAGAAACUUUGUUUCUUUUAUUGGUUGACACCUGACCUCCAGCGAUACAAAUAUAUUCAAAUAGACCAGGCUUACAAAUUCCUCAAAUAAGAGAUAUUAUAAUAGUUGCUUACACAGUUUUUACAGAUAUGCCCAGCAAGGAAGAUCCUCUCCUGAAAAACAAAAAAAAUUCUAUCUUCUGUAAGAGCCAAUUUAAGUUUUUCUAUUGCUUAUAUGGUGAGUGCUAUCAAGACAUGUUCCAGCAAUGCAAGCCACACUCUAGAAUAGUUUAUUAAGCUCAAAUGUACUGAGCUCAAACUUAGUAAAUAAUAACAGCAUGCUGAAAUAACACAUAAAAACAUAACUGAUAAUAGUUCCAGAUGAUUUAUCUCCACACGUUUUCUAAACUUGUAUUCAGAAAGCCAGUUGAUUAUUGUGAUUAUCUAUUAUGACUGUGAUUCCUCUCUUAUAUGGAUAAAAAAUUUGUGCCCUCCUUAAGUAGAACAAGAAGGCUCUGAGAAACAGAAAAUUGCAUUUGAGACCUUUUUUGAAAUACUACUGCAUGAUGACCUAUUUUUUUUUUUUUUUAUAUGUAUAUAUUUACAUUCAUAGUACAGUAUAAUAGGUAUAAUAAGCUAGAUCGAAUACAAAAAAUGGAAACGACAACUACGUUAUUAAAGUGAAAAAAUCUUCAUGACAUCUGUGAAAAAAAAUCGACGUUUCGACCCCUAAGGGUCUUUCUCAAGAUCUGCUCCUGACAACGGAGUUUAGAACACCGAAACGCGCGUCGAGCUUCUUCUUAUUAUUUUUUUGUUUUUCGUUCACUAGGUAGCACGGAUUUAUGGAUCACUUAAUUUACAUUUUGAUUUAGCUAUCUGGACAGGAAGGGAAAGGGAACUUGUGUCUGUUCACAGUGCCAAGGUAUAUAGGGAUAGAAGCUCUUUUCAUUAGUGGCUUUUAUUCAGGGCUGGGUUUUUUUUCCUUCUUAGGAGGUGUCUAGCUAUAUCCCCUUAUAAGCCUAGUUGUGUUUUCCUCUAUCCACCUGUUUUAUCUAUACAGUUAUUUGGAUUAGCCUGGAUAUAUUUUUGAGCUGGAUAGUAGUUUGGGUCUGGAUGUUUCUUUAUACACCAUUCUUUCCACCCUGGUUUUCCCACUUUUUCCUGUCCUUUUACUGUUUUUACCAUUAGGAUUAUUAAAGGUAGGGACUCUUUCUCAAUUAUUCUUCUACUUAGGACCUUUUGGUUCUACUUUUUUCUUUUCUUUCUUAUAUUAUAUUAUCUGUUCAUAUAUACAAGAGCGCUUUUAUGAAACAACGUAUGAUUGUGUGUGAAACCAAAACCUGUGAUCCCCUCAUUCUUCGAAAUACUUGUAAGACGUUGAAUAAAUCCAUCACAGUGCUUUACAUAUGCUUCCAGUUUUACAGCUAGGAUGAUGCAGGUGGCUAAGGGGCACAGGCAUGGUGUUGCCACAGGUACUUCGCAUGUAGGUAUGCUAGCUGAACAACUUAUACCUGCACAGUCUGAAUGUGCUGAUAUCGACAAGGAUAGGCCUCGGGCUCCACAUUCAGUACAUCAAGGCCAGUAUACCCCAGCUGAUUCAUAGAAUCCACUAAAAGAGAAAAAAAUUAUUGAGGAUAAAGUCACCCAGGUGAUCUGUGAUGUCAAUAUGAGAAUUAUCCAAGUGUCAACACUCUUCCUUGAGUGCUUAAACUAUGCAUAACAUCAAGCAGAGCACUAUUUACCACACAGAUGGGAGCACUUAAAGGACCACUAUAGACACCCAGACCACUUCAGCUUAAUAAAGUGGUCUGGGUGCCAGGUCGAGCUAGG